Molecule: long non-coding RNA, 697 nt
Filed under: Numida meleagris (helmeted guineafowl)
Lineage: Eukaryota; Metazoa; Chordata; Aves; Galliformes; Numididae
Description: lncRNA (ENSNMEG00000007836.1)
Source: RNAcentral
UUAUAACCUUUUUUGAGAACAUUUAAAAAUGAAAGUUCUGCAGUUGCUAUGCAGCAAAGACUUGCUGUCAAGGGCAUGGACCAUCUUGGUGCUUGGCUGGGGGACAAGCCCGUCUACAAUGGUGUUCUCUUCGAAGAAAAUCAAGCUGCCAAGAUGCCAGCUUCCUCUGCACAGUGAACAGCAACACUCAGGAAGCAGUAAACAGUCCUGGCUGCCUGACAGUAACCUGAGGCUCCAUCCUGCAGAACAGAAAAUGAAAGGCAAGGACAAACUCAAAGGGAGUGCAAGGCAUACACCAGGGAACAGGACCGUGUUUGCUGGGUGGCAGCUGCAUACAACUUGGACCAGUAAUGGCUCAGGCUCCUGUCUGGUGGCCAAGAGGGAGGAGGAGACCUGGCAAGUGCUCUCUGUACACCGUCACUGGCUUGGGAUCACUGCUCCACUGGUGUCCCAGAAUUCAGACUUCUGGCAUCUGCACAAACACCUCAUCUCCUGCGCCCGCCACGAAGGCAGCUCUGUGAGGAAGGUUAUCGUGCUUUCUGUCCUUAUCAUAGGAGCCUCCCUGUCUAUGCUCUGCCCGAAGACACAACAUGUCCUCCCUAGAUGUUUGACUUGGGGAGGGACGAGGAAAAGAGAGAACACUGAUUUCCAGAAGCCAUGUUGCCUUCUAGUCACAAGAGAUUCAGCAUCAAUAUGA